RNAcentral lists this ribosomal RNA (235 nucleotides) under uncultured bacterium. Its description in RNAcentral is "partial 16S ribosomal RNA". It matches the Rfam family "Bacterial small subunit ribosomal RNA", at positions 96 to 334 of the family's 1533-position model. The record is from RNAcentral.
CGGCGGACGGGUGAGUAACGCGUAGGAAUCUACCUGGUAGUGGGGGACAACUUGUGGAAACGCAAGCUAAUACCGCAUACGCCCUAAGGGGGAAAGCGGGGGAUCUUCGGACCUCGUGCUAUCGGAUGAGCCUGCGUAGGAUUAGCUAGUUGGUGAGGUAAAGGCUCACCAAGGCGACGAUCCUUAGCUGGUCUGAGAGGAUGAUCAGCCACACUGGGACUGAGACACGGCCCAG